RNAcentral lists this ribosomal RNA (484 nucleotides) under uncultured bacterium. RNAcentral's name for it is "partial 16S ribosomal RNA". It matches the Rfam family "Bacterial small subunit ribosomal RNA", at positions 30 to 507 of the family's 1533-position model. The record is from RNAcentral.
AUUGAACGCUGGCGGCAGGCCUAACACAUGCAAGUCGAGCGGAUGAAGGGAGCUUGCUCCUGGAUUCAGCGGCGGACGGGUGAGUAAUGCCUAGGAAUCUGCCUGGGAGUGGGGGAUAACGUCCGGAAACGGGCGCUAAUACCGAAUACGUCCUGAGGGAGAAAGUGGGGGAUCUUCGGACCUCACGCUAUCAGAUGAGCCUAGGUCGGAUUAGCUAGUUGGUGGGGUAAAGGCCUACCAAGGCGACGAUCCGUAACUGGUCUGAGAGGAUGAUCAGUCACACUGGAACUGAGACACGGUCCAGACUCCUACGGGAGGCAGCAGUGGGGAAUAUUGGACAAUGGGCGAAAGCCUAAUCCAGCCAUGCCGCGUGUGUGAAGAAGGUCUUCGGAUUGUAAAGCACUUUAAGUUGGGAAGAAGGGCAGUAAGUUAAUACCUUGCUGUUUUGACGUUACCAACAGAAUAAGCACCGGCUAACUUCGUG